GCGGACGUGGUGGAACUGGUAGACACGCCAGAUUUAGGUUCUGGUGAUUUGCAUCGUGGGGGUUCGAGUCCCUUCGUCCGCACCA
Molecule: transfer RNA, 85 nt
Filed under: Holosporaceae bacterium
Lineage: Bacteria; Pseudomonadati; Pseudomonadota; Alphaproteobacteria; Holosporales; Holosporaceae
Description: tRNA-Leu
Rfam family: tRNA
About the family: Transfer RNA (tRNA) molecules are approximately 80 nucleotides in length. Their secondary structure includes four short double-helical elements and three loops (D, anti-codon, and T loops). Further hydrogen bonds mediate the characteristic L-shaped molecular structure. tRNAs have two regions of fundamental functional importance: the anti-codon, which is responsible for specific mRNA codon recognition, and the 3' end, to which the tRNAs corresponding amino acid is attached (by aminoacyl-tRNA synthetases). tRNAs cope with the degeneracy of the genetic code in two manners: having more than one tRNA (with a specific anti-codon) for a particular amino acid; and 'wobble' base-pairing, i.e. permitting non-standard base-pairing at the 3rd anti-codon position.
Source: RNAcentral